CCCUCACCCUCUCCAAGUGCCACUCCAAUCCCCUUCCUCUGCCCGAUCUGCUGCUCGGCUUCCUUCCCUCUAAUCCCUACCUGAUUUGCUGCUCUGCUUUUUGCCUUACAUGCUGCUGCCUGUCCCUUACCCAGUCUCCUGUGUUACACACACAGGUUGCCUGUGCCACUUGUGGCACCCUGCCGCAUGUCGGCCACCUCUGGCGUAGUACAUGGGGUAGGAAGCAGAGUCUACUGUAUUUGCUGCAUCAGUGGCUCUUUAGAGAUUUGUUUUGCAGGUUCAUUUCAUGUGUAAGAGAGUCCAGGUGUAAACGGCCACUCCAGCGUACGGGAAUUUGUAAGGGGGCUUAGAGCCAUUACCUUGCAGUCCCUACACAGGAACAGAAAAGCAAUGAAUCCAAGCCAGACUCUACUUAAACAUUUAAGCAGCUCAUUGGGGCUUACUCGACUGGGCUGCUGAUUAUUAGGGACAGCCGUUUCACCCAUGCAGCUUACUCAGGGUCUCUGUGCUCAGCCUUAGGGGCCACGUCUGCCUUGGAGGGCUUCUCUCUUUGCCAAACCGAAGGAGACAGCCGACAGCGGGCGGCUGUCGCUACCCGGUGGGUUUCACAGGCCCUGCCUGAGUCUGAUCUCUGACAAGGGACCCGCAACCCGCACUGGAAAAGGGGGGGGCAGAGGUGGCUCGUUCUGCUGGUCGUUUGGCUCGCGGCCCGCGCUUCUCCAGUACCCGUGUACCGACAGCUCCGGCACACGCGGCCCUGCAAGCCCUAGCAAUGGGGCUGGGAAAAGCCACAAAGCCGAGGGCUCCCGGCGGCUCCAGGCCUAGCGCUAACCAGCCCGGCCCCCCCAAGGCCCGACAGGGCUACGGGGCCGGCGCCGAGACGCGGGGGGCGGCGCGCUGGGUCCCGCCCUCCGGGGCCCGCGGCUCGUCUGGGCUGAGGAAGCGCCGUCAGGCCCCGCCUCGCCUGUGCCGCCAUUGUCCGGGGCCCGCACCGCCUGGGCCCGGCCUCGGCCUCGGCCUCGCGGGGCCUGAGAGCCGGCGGCCGCCGGGAAGGCCGAGCCCGGAGCGGCGGGCGGGCCCCUGGAGGGAGCAGUCAAUAUGA
RNAcentral lists this long non-coding RNA (1102 nucleotides) under Crocodylus porosus (Australian saltwater crocodile). RNAcentral's name for it is "lncRNA (ENSCPRG00005016197.1)". The record is from RNAcentral. Lineage: Eukaryota; Metazoa; Chordata; Crocodylia; Crocodylidae.